RNAcentral lists this long non-coding RNA (3397 nucleotides) under Mus musculus (house mouse). RNAcentral describes it as "long non-coding RNA chr5:16567968-16571365". The record is from RNAcentral. Lineage: Eukaryota; Metazoa; Chordata; Mammalia; Rodentia; Muridae.
GUUUUAGCAAGCAGAUAUUAAUUAACCAAUUGACUCGUGUAUAAAUAAAAGUUAAGUUCUUCCAUGCUGUAAUGAAACCUUUGGCCUUUACCUUACGGAACCUAGCCAGUGACUAUCCAAGUUGGUGAGUUCUGUAGUAUUUCAGUAAUAGAAAGCAACAUGUUUCCAAUUUGUUAGAACAGUUAUAAAUAAUACCCCUGAAACAUUGAAUUAUAUCUAGCUUAGAAUGCAAAUAACACAACUAGUUUUGUUCUCCCUUAGGGAUGUGCAUACUGAAGAAAACCCACUGGUUUCAUAGGUAGACCUAAAUUUUCAAAAACAAAGGAAUACUACCAAAAUGAAACAUGGAAUUAUAUCUAGCUUAGAAAGCAAAUAAUACAACUAGUUUUGUUUUCCCUCGGGGUUUGCAUACUGAAGAAAACCCACUGGUUUCAUAGGUAGACCUAAAUUUUCAUAAACAAAGGAAUGCCACCAAAAUGAAUCCUCCCUUACAGCAGGAGAGUGUGCUGGACUCCCUAGUACAGGUUUCAUUUCAAUCCAAAUUCACUACCAGAUUAUUAGUAAAUGUGAAAUAAAUCUCCCUGGGAACUAGCUUUCCUAUCCAAUCAGGUAUUUUGCCAAGGAACAUUUUCUUGUAAUUUAGAAGUAUACAGUGGAGAAUAUCUUGUAUGUUAUUUAAAUACGUUUUUAUUUAAUGAGAGCAAUAUUUAAUUUUCAUCAAUUAGCAGUUAUAUUAGAAUAGCUUCAUAACAGUUUAACUUUUAAAUUAGGUGCUAACUAAAGAUUAAUUUUAUGGGCAAUGGAAAAAGAAACAUGUUUUUGUCUAGCAGAGUGAUUUAUUGUUGACUGUCUAAAUAGAAAUAUUUUAUAAAUGGCUUAAUGGAAAGAUGAUGAUAGAUGUUGAAAUUAGUAUAAAGCUUAACAGAAAAAUCAGGUGACCCGAUACCUGCAUCUAUACCCUUCACUGGCCUCCUAGCAUUCAUUAGUGAAGCAGAUGAUAGAAUAGAUCAAGUUUCCUACAAAUACAGUUUAUAUUAAAAUAGAGAAAAAAGGAGGGGGAACACCCAGAAGAUCUAGUUUAUGGUUUAGAAUAUAUUUGGAUAUAACCCAGUUUUAAGUAUUUUUUUUCACUUAUCUCUCUUAAAGUUUGCUAACAGCAAGGACAGAGAUAAAAAUAGCAUCUGUGUGAAUAACAGCUCAGUACAGGCCCCACAGCCUUGCACAAACCCUUUGCGUAACACAUUCUCAAAACAUUUGUCUAAUGAGCACCAAGUGGAAGAGUGAGCGAGGCUUCUUGCCCUGGCUGAACAUGGGAUAUUGAAGAUAAUCAGACUGAACACCUUGCAUGUAAAAGAAAGGCAGCUGGUUUGAGGAAAAGGUAAAAAACACCACAUAAUGAGACGAGAAGCUGUUUAGCCUCUUUUUCCGAAGGAAGAAUUUGAUGUGAAUUGAUUCAUAAUUAGAAAAGCAAUCAUAUCUCUUCUCUUCAUUUUCUGAUUUCACCUUCAGUGAGAAUUUAUUUAUUUUUCUUUUUUUGGUUAUCUUUGGUUUAAAUUUCUGUUUUUAUUCUCUGAUUCUUCCUACCUAUAUAUUUUUAAAACAAAACAAAACAAAACAAAACAAAAAGAGGAACAAAAAAACUAUGGCAUUGCUUUUUCACAACAUAUUUUUUUUCUACUCUAAGUCUCACAUGUAAAUCCUACCUCCAUCUCUCACUCUCUCUGGAACAAUAGUCCUUUAAAACUCUAGAUAGCGAAUAAGGAUAUAUUAAACAUGAUCUUAGUCACUAUUUUAUUUUUAUUUUACUGGACAAUUUCAUUUUAUGGUUUGAAAGUUUUUUUCCUUUUAUUGAAAAGAGAUGCUUAUUCUCACACAUUAUAUUCUGAUUAAGCUUUCCCCCUCCUCUCAGUUCCUCCUCUUCUUCCUCCAUCCAGUUCCACACCCUGUCUCUCAUUGGAAAACAAACAGGCUUCUAUGAGAUAAUAAUAAAAAUAACAAAAUAAAAUAUAAUAAAGUAAAACAAAAAUUAUCACAUCGGAGUUGGACAGGGAAAACAAACAGAAGGAACAGAGCCCAACAGAAGGCACACAAAUCAGGGAUCUACGUAUUUGCACAUUUGGGAAUCCCAUAAAACACUAAAUUGGAAAUAUGUAUAUGUGGAGAUCCUGGUACAAAAUUGUGCAGGCCCACUGCAUGUGGCCUCAGUCUCUGGAAUCACUAGUGUCAUAAGUAAAAUAAUUUUAAUAAAUAGCUGUCUGGGGAAAUUCAUUCUCACAUCAGCCAGGUGAUGUAUCCAUAUGAGACAAUGAUUACGACUACUUUCUCUGAAUAGAUAGUUACAAGAGAAUUUUCUUAAAUAACUUUGACUGAUGAGUUACUUCAUCAAAUAUACAAAGCAAAUGACAGAUUCAUUUCUGCUAGAGAAGUGUCCUGUUACAAAUUUAUUAUAACAUUUGGGAAAGUGCCAAAAAAUGAAGUAAAAUAUAUUUUAGGCAAUAAUACAAACACAAGAUAUAUACACAAAAUUCUAAAUGAUGUGCUAUGGUAAAAAAAAGAAAAAUGGCUUAUCUUUUAAAAAUUGAUUCUUCUUACACCUCUCAAAAUUAUCAUCCUAGCUUCUGUCAGUCACACGACCUAAGGUGAAAGACUCUUUCACCUUUUGUCUUGCGCUAGGAUACUUCUGUGUCACAGAGUUAUAUUAGAUUUUCAGAUAUUUUAGGUGUAUAUAUUAGGUUGAUCUCAAUACACCCCGUGACCACAUGACCUAAUGCUUUAUUUCUAUGUCUUCUAUUUAAAAUGCUGAUGAAGCAAGGGUAUAAAAAACUUUAUUGAGAUAUACUUUACAGUUGCUUAAUUCUUACAAUGCUAGUGUGGUUCCUUGCACAUGUUUAGUAAUAUUGUAGAAUUGACUAUUUAAUUUUGAUCACUGAUUUAUUUGUUGAAAAAGUCAGAAAGUUCCUUAGUGCUCUGACAAUAGCUUUCCCUUGCAAAAUGUUGCUUGGACUAUGAUUUCAGUAUUCCUUCUGUGGUUUAGCAUCUCUAUUUUUAAAAAAAGAUUUUCUUCUUAUUUUCCUUUUUGAUUAAUAUAUCAUAACUUUAAGUGUAGCAUGCGAUAUUUUGAUCCACACAUAUGACCAGUUCAGGAUAGUUAGCAUAUCCAUUUCCUAAAUAGAAUGUCACAGGAAAGAAAACACAUUUGAAACAUCUUUACUGAGAGAUCUUUUAUCUUUGGAUUCAUGUAGAAUUCUGAGGCUAAUAAAAGUAAAAACAACUUUUAGCAAAAACCCAAUUAACUACUUAAUAUAUGAUUGGGUUCAAAAGUUUUACCUGUAUUGCCUAUUUCGGAAUGCUCCUCCCUGAUGUUUUUGUAGCAGAGAAAUAUAGCAUCCAAUAUUGC